RNAcentral lists this ribosomal RNA (918 nucleotides) under uncultured bacterium. RNAcentral describes it as "bacterial SSU rRNA". It matches the Rfam family "Bacterial small subunit ribosomal RNA", at positions 8 to 916 of the family's 1533-position model. The record is from RNAcentral.
AGAGUUUGAUCCUGGCUCAGAACGAACGCUGGCGGCGCGUUUUAAGCAUGCAAGUCGAACGGUAAUAGAGUGCUUGCACUCUAUGAGAGUGGCGAACGGGUGAGUAACACGUAGGUGAUCUAUCUUUGGGUCUGGGAUAGCCUGUGGAAACACAGAGUAAUACCGGAUACGAUCUUUAGAUUUUGGUCUAGAGGGGAAAGUCGCUUAGGCGACGCCCUGAGCUGAGCCUGCGGCUCAUUAGCUUGUUGGUAGGGUAAUGGCCUACCAAGGCGACGAUGAGUAGCCGGCCUGAGAGGGUGAUCGGCCACACUGGGACUGAGACACGGCCCAGACUCCUACGGGAGGCAGCAGCUAAGAAUCUUCCGCAAUGGGGGAAACCCUGACGGAGCGACGCCGCGUGGACGAAGAAUGCCGGAAGGUUGUAAAGUCCUUUUCCUGGGGGAGAAUAAUGAGUGGAGGGAAUGCCACUCAGAUGACGUGAACCAGGGAAUAAGCCCCGGCUAAUUACGUGCCAGCAGCCGCGGUAACACGUAAGGGGCAAGCGUUGUUCGGAUUUAUUGGGCGUAAAGGGCGCGUAGGCGGUGAGAUAAGUCUGGUGUUAAAUACCUCGGCUCAACCGAGGAGGUGCGCUGGAAACUGUCUUACUAGAGUGAUGGAGGGGGAGCUGGAAUUCCUGGUGUAGGGGUGAAAUCUGUAGAGAUCAGGAAGAACACCGGAGGCGAAGGCGAGCUCCUGGCCAUCUACUGACGCUGAGGCGCGAAAGCGUGGGGAGCGAACAGGAUUAGAUACCCUGGUAGUCCACGCUGUAAACGAUGUGCACUGGGUGUUGGUCCGUUGAGGAUCAGUGCCGUAGCUAACGCGUUAAGUGCACCGCCUGGGGAGUAUGCUCGCAAGGGUGAAACUCAAAGGAAUUGACGG